CCAGCGUUAGUGCGAGUGAGGCAGAUUUAAUGGGUUAAAGGGAGACAGAUGUAGUUGUAGUUGGUGAGUUGAGGCAGUGGGAAAAGAGGUGGAGGUGGCAAAAGAGUAAGCACUAACCUAUCAGGUGGCUUGUAUUUGUGAGGAAACGAUCUCCGCUGUGCAAUUGUGAAAAACCAAUAUAAGUAUGGGUUAAUCCCUCGGGGAUUUUCAGUUGUAACAGUGAGAGGGACAGCAAAACAUUACGAAAGGGGAAGAGAGAGAGAGAGAGGACAGACGAGGGUCAAGGGAUUCCCUUUUUCCCCGCCCUCUUCAACAGAAUCACAAAUUGUUACACAAACCCCUGGAAAAACUUCUUCCCAAGGUUUGACCCACUCUACCAUCACUAUUGGUACUCUCUCGGUAAAUCAAGUGCGUGGGAGGGGGGAGGGGAGGGGGUUGCCCUUCUACUCAAUUCUCUCAGUAACCCCACUCACAACUCAUUCCACCACUCCCAAAAGCAUUUUACCACUACCUAGUUACGAUGAAAACUCCCACCACUCAAUUUUCACACAGCCACUGUAUGUUAACUCUCCCUUUCUCUCUCUCGCUCUCUCUCUCUCUCUCUCUCUCUCUCCCUCUCUCUCUUGCCACUCAGGCAAAACUAGGCUCUCACUAUUACAUUAUGAAUAGAUGCGAUUGCCUAGAAUCCGAGCGACACAAUUCAACGAUUUAUGCAUUUGCUAGUUGUUUUUAGACAAUUUUUGUGGUAAUCAUUUCAUUUCAAGGAUUCGUUCACGUGCUUAUAAAUGGAUUUAUCAUUUUAGUGAAAAACUCUUAGAAAAAUUUCAAAUUGAGAAACAUGGAAGGGCGUAUUGACUGUUACAUUCGUAGUAAAUGUCAGAAUUGAGGGAUAUCAAUGCAUCAAAACAAUUUGCUGAACAGAACACGUUUUCAUGUAAGGAAGUUUGGAGUUCAAAUGCGAGGAAAUAUGGCAAAGUCAAUCUUUACUUCCGAAAACCUAAUUUAUGAUUUUGGGUUUCUCGUCAGCCUUCAUGAUUCAGCAUGAGACUGAUCGGGUGUUAAAUACUGUAUUAAAUCCUAUUGGGAUUCCUCCUCAGUAUACUCAACAUGAACCCAUAGGUGAUUGACCUAUUUUCGAAAAGAAAUGUGAUAAAUAUAUGAUUUAAUUUUAUUAAGGAUAUUUUCCGAAUAUUUUAGUAGUCUUUCCGCUACGGAGUCCAGAGAUAUCCAUCUACACUGAGAGGAAAAAAGUGAAUAUUUUUUAGCAAGAAAUGAAUAAUCUUCAUUGUUAUGGUAUUUUUGUUAUUUUCAGGUGGUAAAUUUUUCGAAAUGACUAACAAUAAAUCGAAGCAAACGAAUUUGUAUUGAUUGAGGAAAUAUUGGGAGAAAUAUUUCUUUGAUUUGCACUCGUUAUUUUUCUCAGAAUAUCUAUGUGAAAUUUCUUUGUUUGGACUGUCAAAAACUGACAGACUGAAAUUGAGUAUUUUUUUUAAUGUUGGGAAAAUUGGAAAAAUCCAAUUCUUUUCCAACUAUCCUCAUUGCUGUAAAUAUGGACAUAUCAGCAAAGGGGUUUGGUAAUUUCUAUUGAAUUUUUCUCUUCUUAGAAAAAUAUCUUCAUCUGAUUCAGAUUCGCAUAGUUAUCGAGCAUUGGAAGGGCUGAAGCAACGUAAGUCCUCUUAACACCUUGCUCCUAAAUUAGUAGAAAUGAAAAUAGUCGAAACACAUGUGGAAAACACUAGUUAUGUCAUGUGCCAAAUAACUUCUGUCAUGUUAUUUUUUCUGCUUUUCAUAAAAAAAGAAAAAGAAUUUAUUUUCCGAGUUAAAUUUUUUUUUCCUCUUAAAAAACGAUUUUCAGGUGUGGAAAUACAAAAGAGACGAAAAAACAUCGUGAGAUACUAAAAUUUCGGUAUUCUCAUUCUGCCCCCGAUGCGGUAAUCCCAACUUGUGGUUUCUCAUUCUUCUGUCACUUCCUUCCUCUCUCUCUCUCUCUUCCUUUCGUCCCACUGUGACACUGCCUCCGCCUCAUGAGAUGACGCUUAUCACUCUCACUCUUACUUAUGUUUUUUUAACAAUUCUAUUUCCUCAACGCAUGGCAACUUAUCGCAUUUCUUGUUCUUAUUUAAUCAAUGUUGUGAUUGUAUCUGGCCGUUAGUAGGUUAGUGUGUCUUGCUUUCGUGAUACUGAAGAGGCUUUUAUUUGAAAUAGAACUGGAUUAAUUAUCAUAUACUGAUGACGAGCGAAGUUGACACACGUGGCGCUUAUAAUACUCAACUCGCCUGUUUCCAUAUCGACGGAAAUAUUUUGUUGUAACACGUAAAUAUCUUAUGUACAACUGCACUGUCACGUGCAUAUUUUUAUUUCGAUAUUUCAGGCCGACAAUCACAUUUUACCCAAAUACAACUGCACCUUUCUACCUCAGAUGCAAACAUUGAAAUACUCUCACAUGGUUAUGCACAUGAUGAAAAUUUAGAACGCUAUAUACAUCUUUAUUAUUUACUUUAUUUACUGUGCGUAAAUUUAGACUGAACUGAAUACACGAUGCCAAGGAAUUCAUGGGGAAAUGAGGUCGGAAAGUGCGAUCUCGACCUCGGCGUAUCUUUUCCCUCUCUCUAUGUGUCUGUUUCUCUCCCUCUCCCUCUCGCUGUUGUUUAUUUAUUUUUGGUUUUUCUUUCUUGUGUAUUUAUUUCGAGGAAGAGAAGCAGGUCUCUAUGACAGAACAGCUGAUAUCGGAGUUUAUCACUCUUCCUUGUACCUAGUGUACUUGGAUGAUAACAAGUGGAGUACCACGAGGUCAAUUGUUAUCAGAAACGUGUCACUGGAUCAUUGGAAAAAAAAACUUUUUGUUGUAGGAAUUUUUUUUUUUGAAAAGCUGCCGAUUUUUUUGGAGGUAAUCUUUGUCGGAGAACUUUUCGCAUUUUUAAUGGCCAAAAUUUUGUUAUCAACCAUUCUUUUCAUAAAAUAGGUUGUGCAUAAUAAAGCAUGGGAAAAAUAUUAGUUUACACACGAAAGAGUAAAUUCUGUUGAUAGUAUCUAAGGAGUCACUUUCUAGCAUGUACGUAAAAUAUAUCCUAUACUUAGUUUCAAAUCUGUUGAAUUUUAGUUAGUAGUUUUUGUGCAUAUGUUGUCCAAUUGUGGGCCGAAAUAUAAGUUGGGCUUGCAAGGUUGAACAUUCCGCUUAGAUGGGCUUGUCAGAAUAGCAAAUGACGAUUUGUUGCAAAUCGGUCUCUUCCCAAUAUAUAUAAUGUAACUAUUGGGAUGUAUCAUUAGCUAAAUACAAGCCUGAAGGAACAACACAUGCCUCCCAUAUCCCUAGCGAUCUAUGUACGCUCCCCGCAAACCGUAUUUCAAUCUAA
Diachasmimorpha longicaudata is the source of this 3353-nucleotide long non-coding RNA. RefSeq lists it as uncharacterized. The record is from RefSeq and is a predicted model, not a curated record. The transcript has 3 exons. NCBI's taxonomy places the organism in Eukaryota, Metazoa, Arthropoda, Insecta, Hymenoptera, Braconidae.